UAUACUCUUUCCUCUGUUUCCACAGUUUCGCCGACGCGGCGAUCCCGAACACCACGUGGCUGAGAUCGGUUGGCUCGUCUUCCACCUCUUCCUCCUCGGACUCGCGCCGACGUGAAGGUAGUGCAGAGGAGGAGGAGGAGGAGGAGAGGUUGGCGGAGAGGGUGGUGAAGGUGAUGGAAUCGUCGCAGGAGCGUGAGGUGGAGACGAGCUUGAGCAUGUAGAUAAUGUAAGUGAAAGCGAUGAAGCAGAUGAGCCAGACCAUUAGUUUAGGACCGGGUCGGGUUACCACCGACAACGUUCCGGGUUUCUCCGAGGAGUCUUUCUGGUUACCUUUCAUCCUCCCUCUUUCGAGCUUCUUGAUUCGUACCCCCAGAGGAGAGAACGAACCGAAAAGAUUGGAUCUUUGUUUUCGUAAAAGAGAAAGAUUAGUGUGAGUGAGAUUGGUGAUGGAUGUCCUGAGAAAUCGCUUCUUGGUUUCAAACGAUCCUUAUUUUAUCUCUCAGGUACAUAUGCUGCGCUGGUUACAUGCCUUGUAGCGGCAGGUGUGGAGAAGCCAAAUGUCCUCAACUUUGUCUUGCCACUGAGGUGAGGAUAUUUGUUUUCAGAGCUUUUUAUCUUUAAAUGAAGUCUUGUUAUAGAAUGUUUCAUUACAGCAUCUGAAUAUAAUAACAUAAGCAUAUAUAAUCUCAUGCCUAUGUUAUAUGGGCUUAUGAUGCCACUCCAUGAGUUGUUAAAUAUUAUAAAAGUUUCCUAAAUAGCAAAAUGAUUCGUAGGUCUUUUGCUGCUUUGGAACCUCUGUGGCAUCGACUCGUUUCCUUCUGCAAGAUGAGUUCCAAAUUCAGACCACACAAUGUGACAACUGCAUCAUUGUAAGUAGUAAUCCUCAUUGGUCACGCCGGUUAUUGAGACUCGCAAGCAGUUAAAGUAGAAACAGUACAGACUAUGAAACAUGAGAAACAAGUGUUAGUGAUCUGUGCUGUCUUAUUGGCUGUUGUAGGGUUUUAUGGUUUGCCUUAGCCAAGUGGCUUGCAUAUUCUCCAUAGUUGCGUGUAUCGUCGGCAUUGAUGAGCUUUCAGAAGCUUCCCAGCUGCUCUCUUGUUUAUCUGACAUGGUGUACUGCACGUAAGCAACUUCCUUAUCUGCACUCUCAUUUUCAUUCUCUCUUUAAACUUAAUUGACCCUGAUGAUCAUGUUUUUGCUUCAUUCCCAGGGUUUGCGCUUGUAUGCAGGUAAAGUGAUGAUAUCAACCUCACCUCUACUCAAAAAACUAAUAUCACAGUUUUCCUUAUAAAAUCUUAUUAUGCUUAUAUCUAGACACAACACAAGGUGGAAAUGGACAAGAGAGAUGGUAAGUUCGGUCCACAACCAAUGGCUGUGCCUCCCCCUCAGCUAAUGUCACGGAUUGAUCAAGCCACUCCACCCGCUAUCGGUUAUCCUCCACAAGGUUACCCACAACACCCUCCUCAAGGGUAUCCAUCUUCUGGCUACCCUCAAAACCCUCCAGCUUAUCCUCAGUACCCUCCUGGUCCGGCUUAUCCACCUCAAGGUUACCCAAAGUAAUCACUCUUUUGCGUUCACUUUCACGUCGUUGAUAUAUGCUCUGUGUGCCGGUCAAAGUGUUUUGAGGUCAUUAUUUGGUGUGUAAGACUUUACUUCAAAUCAUCUUGUUGUUAUCUGAGACCGUCCCCCUAUUGGACUGAGACAUCUGAUGAAUUUUUUUCUUUUCAUUUGAUUUUUUUUUUUGGAAAGUAAAGAGACCAAAUAUAUAUAUAUAUAUAUAUACACGUCGUCACGUCCAUUUCACUAAAAUCUAGUUUUUAAUAAAUAAAAAAUAUUUACUAAAUAUUGAUAUGUUGUGUUUGGAACAAUGUUGAAUUGAACCAGUUGGAUCUCAAUGAAUACAAUUUUAAAUAACGUGGCAAGAAAUUACGAGUGAGUAAAGCAGCCUAAAACUAUUUUUUCUUCUCAUUCAAAAAUUAAAUCAAUACAAAAAUACUAUAUAAGAGUAAGUUACUUUACUUCAGUGACUUCACCAUCUCUACAUACACCAACAUUGAUCCAUAACGUAUUAUUCCUCUUCGUUUGUAACACCCUGCAGCAGUUCCUCCUCGGUGACUGUACAAAAAACACAUGCACCAUGUAAGUCCACAACAUUAUGCACGUUAUAACCACAUGCUAAAAAAAAUAACAUUACGUUACUUACCCGUUCCCACAGAUGCGGAUCAGGUUUCUUGUAAACGACGAUGGUGUUAAUCUCAGCCGGGUUCGCUAUCUUCCACUUACAAGACGGAUGCGAAACACGGUGCCGCGUGUAUUCGCUAACCGUCGUGUUCAGCUGCUUGUCGAACUUCGUGGUCGACAUGUAAUACACAAACGGUUUUUGGCACGGUUGCCGACUAACAGGCCUGGUGUUGAAUGCGUAGGCGGUGUAGUCCGCUCUUUUGUACCAAUUCAAGAAGGUUCUAGAAGGCAUUUCCAUUUCCCUUGGAGAAAAUAUUCCUCGGAAUAUUUGGACCGCGUAGCCCCACGAGACCGAGACGGUCCAGCUCUUGUGCUUGUCGUAGCAUAUAGACUGCUGGAGAAGCCCGGCUGAGUCGAGCUUCAUCGGUACAGUUAGCUUCUUAAGGGAACGGACACGUGUCAUGUUUGGGAAGAUCGGCUCCACGACGUCGAGGUGGUGCACUGAGACGAACGGUGUUACUGGGUGAGCGGCCAGGAGACCGAAGAGGCUCCCGUAAACGUCGUACUGAAACGGAACAACACAAACUUAAGAUGUUACACGGAGCGUGAGUUUCACACGUCAUAUGUGCGCCUAGGAAAUUAUGACAUCAACAAAUCAUUCGAGUGUGAAAGAACAGAAAAGCGGGUCCCACACUCUUACACCUGUAUUCAACCAUCUAACUAAAGUAAAUGGACAAGACAUUGAGCUACUCACGCGCCGCUUUGUCGGUACCAAACCACGGAAAAUUUGCCAAAACAAAUAUUGAAGCACAAACAGAAAAAAGAAACGAAACUAAACCGGCAUGAGAUAUUCUUACAAGAAAAUUUUUUUUUUAGCAACAUCUUACAAGAAACAUUAUACUCCGAAAAAACAAGUGCCCCUAAAACUAGUCUUUUGAAACUCUUUCCGACAAAACUCUUAAAAGUUUCAAUUUUCCUGAAAAGCUAACUACUUUGAUUGAAACCCAUUUCAAUUACCAUCAUUACCUUCAAGACCCAUGUCAAAAUAUCACUAAAAACACCAACUUUCCCACUAAAAUCAUAAAAGAUUGCUUAUGGUUUCUACAUUAGGACUCAACAAUCAUCCACUAAAUCCUUAAAAGACAAAUUCACCAUACUUGGCAGUGACCCAGCACCAGCUAUUACUAGUUUACCACCAAACUGAAAUAUUCAGACAAAACUUGUCUUACCUGAUGAAAGCCGAGUUCUUUAGUAAGCGGAACACCGAGUUCAGCCAUACAAGCUUGCAUGCGAUCGUCUGAACCAUACAAUGCAGGAUACCUCUGUAUACACCGAUCCUGCAUCUUGCUCAAAGCCUUAGCCAGAGGGUAGCUAAUAGCGAACCCUCCUCCACCGUAAGCCAUCCCGUACGAGAAAAAUAUGUUCUGCAGAUGAGAUUCCGACAAGCUCCCUAUGUAAUACAUCUGCUCGUGGUCGUACUUCCUCAGCACCCUAAUGAGAUUAUCCGUGACGAAAACAGUGUCGUCGUCACCCAUCACGAACCACCUCACGUUUCUCGGACCAAGACGCAGCAUCUCCGACACGAUCCUCGAGAUCCGCAGCGCCGAGCGUUGCCCUUGCUUGUUCGUGUAAGGGAACGAAGCUGUCCCGCCGGAGAUUCUCACCGGCGGAAGUAGAUCCUCGUCGUCUUCGUUGCUGCUAGUGAUGUUCUUCUUCACCUCUUUGUCUAACCAGACAUAGCCGCACAUGUGUUUGGGCUUGUACCAGAUCUUGAUAUACUCUUUCCUCUGUUUCCACAGCUUCGCCGACGCGGCGAUCCCGAACACCACGUGGCUGAGAUCGGUCGGCUCGUCUUCUGCCUUCUCUUCUUCCUCCGACUCGCGCCGGCGUGAAGGUAGUGCAGAAGAGGAGGAGGAGGAGAGGUUGGCGGAGAGGGUGGUGAAGGUGAUGGAAUCGUCGCAGGAGCGUGAGGUGGAGACGAGCUUGAGCAUGUAGAUAAUGUAAGUGAAAGCGAUGAAGCAGAUGAGCCAGACCAUUAGUUUUGGACCGGGUCGGGUUACCACCGACAACGUUCCGGGUUUCUCCGAGGAGUCUUUC
RNAcentral lists this long non-coding RNA (4278 nucleotides) under Brassica napus (rape). RNAcentral's name for it is "long non-coding RNA (BNAP_LNC002963)". Lineage: Eukaryota; Viridiplantae; Streptophyta; Magnoliopsida; Brassicales; Brassicaceae. The record is from RNAcentral.